Molecule: non-coding RNA, 45 nt
Filed under: Schistosoma curassoni
Lineage: Eukaryota; Metazoa; Platyhelminthes; Trematoda; Strigeidida; Schistosomatidae
Source: RNAcentral
CUCCACCUGACGAGUCCAAAAUAGGGUGAAACCUGCCUCGUGGAU